ACUCAAGGCCAAAGUCUCAGGGACUCCUCCAGACUCAAUAGAACUGACUGAAUUCUUCAAAAGAGCACAGUGCCCAAGGCAAAACGGUCUUACUGGUUUAUUACUAGACCAUGGUUUGACUCAAAGGUGACUUUUAGAAACCAGUUUCUUCAAGGCUUAAGAUUCGAAAGGACAUCUAAGGACAAAUGGCUUUGGAAGAAUAAAUGAGGAAUUCUGCUGGCAUACCCUGUCUCCUUCAUAUCCACAAUAAAUUUUACUGCUUGAAUCCAGUUCAAAUGCUAAUUCAUCCUUGGAGCCUUACCUUACACACUCCAUCAAGUUGAACAGCCCUCCUACUUGUCUGAGCCUAUCUUUGACUCUUAGCAUUGCUUGUGUCUACAUCUCAUCUUCUCCAUAGACUGUAAAUUCAU
Molecule: long non-coding RNA, 410 nt
Organism: Trichechus manatus latirostris (Florida manatee)
Lineage: Eukaryota; Metazoa; Chordata; Mammalia; Sirenia; Trichechidae
Exons: 3
Source: RefSeq, a predicted model, not a curated record